This 163-nucleotide non-coding RNA is filed under the name uncultured eukaryote. The record is from RNAcentral.
UACGUCGGCAGGGGCGGCGGGCCCUUGUCUGCACUCGAGGUGCCACGCGCACUGGCCAGGCAACUUGUGGGCGAUCUUACGCGUGCGGGUGAAUUCGAGGACUUUGUCGGGAGGGCGAUGUUGAUGGGCGACGAUCGCGCGAGGGAAGCCAUCCUGAAGCAAA